RNAcentral lists this long non-coding RNA (3147 nucleotides) under Marmota monax (woodchuck). Lineage: Eukaryota; Metazoa; Chordata; Mammalia; Rodentia; Sciuridae. The record is from RNAcentral.
GGGGACAGGGACUGUAACCUCUAAUUCACCAUAUUAAAUACACUGUUUGGCACAUAGUUCCCUAUAAAUACAUGAUAAGUACACAUAGCUAAUAAUAAUAAUGAUAACAAUAAUUAUCACUAUAUGCAGUUUUUCAGGGGUUUCACUGAAUGUGUUAUAUACAUUAUCUCAUUUGAUCAUCUUAGUAAUAUAUAGUGAAGCCAUGAAUUAUAUCAUUAUCUCAUUUUAUUAGGGAAAAUAGUUUUAGAAAAUUUCAGUUACUCUCACCAAUUCAUACUAUCAAAGCCUGUAUUUUCAGGUCAAUACUCUUCUGUGCAUACCUAUAUCUUGAAAAUGUGGUUAGCAAGAUCAAGUGCACAAUAUCCAGACAUUCUACAAAUUGAGAAAUCUAGACUUUCUGCUGAUUGAGAUUCAGGUCCUCCUAAAUGAUGAUGACACACUGGCAGGCCAGUUCAAUGAGAACAUGUCCGGACACUGCAACAACUUUGUAUGUAACUGCAGCCCGUAAGGCUGUUCUCUAACUAAAGUGCCAUAGAAAUAAAGCCUAAAUUUCAUUUAUAAUUUUAAAACAACUUUCAAAAUCUGUGCUGUUAAGUAAAAAUGAAGCAUGAAGAAAUUCUUUUGAAGUCUAUAUAAUUCCCAAAGCAGCAACUGCAAGAGAUUUGCUUUUGUUUUCCAAGUGUUGGAUUUGAAACUUACUCAUAUUUCAGAACUACGCAUGAUAAUUCUUUGAUUGCGUGUUUGUGGUUAAACAUCUCCCUCACAUCCCACAAAACUUCAGCCAAGAGUUUAAUAGUUAGCAGAAGAAAAGUUUACUUCUAUCUGUAAAUACACUUGUGUAAAAUAUUUGGGAAAAUAUUAAAUAAGGAGUCAGGAAACUGAGGGGCUGGAUCUUCAUAGCCAAUAUGGUAGACAUGGUCUUCAGUGUCUAUUUACAUGUAAAUUUAAAUUAAAUAAAAAUAAAGACUGAGUUCCCCGGUUUCACUAGCAGCAGGUUAAGGUACAUGUUCUAUGCUACUGUAUGAGAAAGUGUAGAAGAAUGGAACAUUCCCAUUGCUGCAAUAAAUUCUACUGGGCAGCACUACUCUAAGCAAUGAUUCUCAAACGUUUUGGACUUAAGAUACAUUGAAACUCCUAAAAAGGACCAGUCUCUUAAAGAACCUCUUUCAAAAUAUGGAUAUCAUAUUCAUCGAUAUUUACUGUAAUAGAAAUUAAAACUGAGAAAAUUUAAAAUAGCAACUCGCAUUCCAUUAGCCAUCAACACACUGACAUUAUCACAUACAGAAAACUCUUGUGGAGAGUCAGGGUGAAAAAUACAAAUGACAUCUUAAUAUUAGGAAAAAUGUUUGACCUCACAGAUGCUCUGAAAUUGUCUGAGUCUCCAAGAUCCCCAGGCCACACUUUGAGAACCAUCCAUCUAGUCCCUACUCUUUUACUAAGUAGCUCCCUUGUUCCCUUUUCUUUCUAAAGGCACGUGGGGCUUAUUUUGUCCAGAGAUUCGGCCAAGUUUUAAACAUUUGGCAAUGUAAAAUAAAACAAUCUUAGUUCUUUACCAAACCUUCACUUUGCAAGGGAGGGAAGUAAAGGCUCUCAGAGUCUACUUUGACUGAAUUGAAGCUUCAUGCAUUUGAAUUAGUUAGGGGAGGCUUAGUAAUUUCUCUGUGGGCCUCAGUAGAUUUUUUCCCAAACAUGUAUAAAAAUCAUAGUGGCUAUGGCUGACAGGCCUAAGACAACCCCUUGAUGUUUAUACUUAAAAUCUCCCAGUAUCAUUUGUGCUUACCAUAGAGUCAGCAUGUUAGAAAGGAACUCUUAAAGAUCAUUAUGAUAAGUUCCAAAAAUAUCAAGAUCCCGAAUCAGAUAAUAUCACAUCAAAAUUAUUUCAGAAUAUUUGGUUUUGGACUAUGUAGUUACAGAAUGUUUUUAAUUGUUCCUAAAAUUGUAAAAACCUUCCAUGAUGCCAUGUGUUGAAUUUUCAGAGGAAAUACUUUCUCUUCAAUGUGUGUGUGUGUGUGUGUGUGUGGAGAGAGAGAGAGAGAGAGAGAGAGUAAAAUUGAGCUGCUGAGAAAGCAUAUUGAAAUAGUUUAACCAUAAAAGCAUUUGUAAUAAUAGCUUUCACAAAAAUGGUGCGAUUAUCAAGAAUAUAAGCAAUAAUAGUAAUAAUAAUAAGUGUUGGUAAGGAUGUAGGGAAAAAGGUACACUCAUACAUUGCUCGUGAGACUGCAAAUUGGUGCAAUCAAUGGCUCAUUUCUGGGAAUUUUUUAAUGUCCACCCUUGUAAUUAUCUGAAUUUAGAUGAGUUUAAUGAUAAAAAUUCCAGAACAAUUCCAUAACUUGUAUUGAUAUUUGUGACCCAUGUUGGCCCUUUACUAGAAUGGCCUUUUAUGUGAGUACAUGAUAUUGGAGACCCAUAAACAAAUGAACUAAGAAAGGCAGAAUCCUUGUGGCAGUGGCAAAAAGUAGACCCUACGUGGUAAGUUUCAUGUUCAAGGCCAAUAGUUACUUCUUCUUUCCUGGAGACUCUCUACUUACCAUUGCCAAGAGAGCUCACUGUCACGUCUCUUCACAGUGAAUGACCAAGUCCUGUUUUCUCCUUGUCUUUCUAAAUGAUAUCAGUUCACCCUUUAAACCUUUCAAAGAUGUUUUCUUGGUGAGCCAAGUGUAUAUCCUGAAAAAGAGUGACAUUCAAGAUCAACAAAGCAAGUUUCCUGAGUAAUGUUGGCUGGCUGGGCUGCUGGACUGACAAGUUUUUAUUUUCAUGUCUACCUCUUCUCAGUGCUUGAGCCAGGGCUCUGACUGAAAGCAAGGUUUGAAGAGGACCUUCUUCACAUGCAGCCUUAAGAGAAAGAAGUCAGGCUGGAGAUUCAAAAUAUCCUCACCUCUUCUCCUUUACAAGUCCAGACUUACAAAGACUCAGUAACGGACAUAAUUAUUCCAUCAUUGAUAUGGAGCUCAUAUGGUUACUUCUGGAACUUUGUUUUAGCAGUGUUUUACUCAUGAAAACAUCAUUAAUGUAUCAACAGUUAUGGUAUUGAGAACACACUAUGUUCGGUAUUUUAUGAUGGUUUGACCAACUAGAUUUGGAGAGAAAAGGGACAGGCUUUGUAAAAGAAGUUGCUUGCACUGAAAAAAAAAUUAUAUCACUGCAAAU